CUGGAGGAUGAGGUGAUAGAAAGAAGCUCUGCAGAAAAGGACUUGGGAGUGGUGAUGGAUGAGAAGCUGGACAGCGUGAGCUUGCAGCACAGAAGUUUCUGAGAAGCUUACACCAUCUGCAAAAAGAUUUACUGAUUCCACUUCAACACAGGAUUGAUGCAAGGGAAGGAGAUUCCUUAAGGAUCUCAGUUCCUGGAGGAAAAAGAAAUGUCCUGCCUCCCAGGACUUCACCAGCUCCACAAAAAGCGUUCCAGAAACACACCAAGAGCCCAGGUAUGGACACACCUGUCCUGCUUCUGGAGGUGCCGUUCACUGGGCUGGACAAACCCAGUGAAUCUCAGCCUUUCCCCAGUGUGCAACAAAAGGACCAGGAGGAAGACUACAUAGCUGGAUGAUGUUGUGGUAUGUACUGGAAGCCUUUCCCUGUGCUAAACUGAUGCUGCCUCAUU
Molecule: long non-coding RNA, 449 nt
Organism: Pogoniulus pusillus (Red-fronted tinkerbird)
Lineage: Eukaryota; Metazoa; Chordata; Aves; Piciformes; Lybiidae
Exons: 5
Source: RefSeq, a predicted model, not a curated record